This is a long non-coding RNA of Ictalurus punctatus (channel catfish), 562 nucleotides long. The record is from Ensembl. NCBI's taxonomy places the organism in Eukaryota, Metazoa, Chordata, Actinopteri, Siluriformes, Ictaluridae.
GUUUCAUUUACACGCUGUUUUCGAGAAUUCACAAAUGUGUGCGUGUUAUUAAAGUCAUUAAGGGUGGGGUGAUACAUCAGCGUGAGGAAAUACGUUAUACUGAGGGACCGGGGUGGUGUGAUGAAGAGGAGUUACUGAUUCCACCCUGAAGUGGAUUAUUUUCACAUAUGAGCACGUCCUGAAGAUGUCAGAAAACAAAAUGACGGCUUUACCUCUUGCUGUUACAAAGUAGUGACACUGGAGACUCCUUCCACAAAUGUUAAAUAAACGUCUCCAAAGCUUUGGAGUCGAUUCCCUGAUUCCUGGCGCUGUACACUAAGAGUCAACUCGGAAGGUUUGGAGUCGAUUCCCUGAUUCCUGUCGCUGUACACUAAGAGUCAACUCGGAAGGUUUGGAGUCGAUUCCCUGAUUCCUGGCGCUGUACACUAAGAGUCAACUCGGAAGGUUUGGAGUCGAUUCCCUGAUUCCUGGCGCUGUACACUAAGAGUCAACUCGGAAGGUUUGGAGUCGAUUCCCUGAUUCCUGGCGCUGUACACUAAGAGUCAACUUGAAAGGUUUGGAG